CUCUUGCGGCGGCGGGAGGCAUUAGAGCGUGCGCUUGCGUCUCUCCGGGCACCUCGUGCUCGCCGCACUGUUGGUUAUUUGUGGUGUUUUUGUGUGUUCCACUUGGUCUUCGCCCUCCUUUCUUUGGCAGUGGUUCAGGAUUAGAAGGGAGACGCGUCAUUCGACGCUGAGUCACGUCAUUCGACGCGGAGCCACGUCAUCCGUUUUGCAAUCUUUUGGUGCGCGCGGCUCCUGGCGUCCGAGUACUGACGCCGCCCUGAAAAGAAAAGCUGCGUCACUCUCCGACUCUGACGCGGCUGUGCUUCGAUGUCUCGUCAGUGUUGAUAUUGACUGGAAUGACGUUGUUGCUCUGCCAUUAGCAGGGACUGAGCGCAUCGGCAAGUGCGCGCUUCCAGGGCACUUCACCACCUUCUUAAAAGUGUUGACUCCGCCGACACGUGACGACGACGUCUUGGCGUAUCUGUUGCCUACACAUUUGUUGCCUGGAGUUCACCGGGAAAAAAGAUCGACAUGAGGAAGCGUCAGCGCUGCCGGUGCCCUCUAGUGCCGCCCUUAACCACCAGUAUCGGCGGCUGAGCAACUGGACGGCAUGAGGCGCGGGUUUUUCAGAAUGGGGGUGCAGCAGCACCCGUGCUCGGCGGUGCAGCAUUCCCGCUGGUGCUGGCGCUGCCUGUCGGUGCGGGACCUGCUGCUGCUGCUCUGCUCGUUCGCCAUGCUGUCCGUGUACAUGAGCUACCGGCUCACCAGCCUGCACCUGCAGCCCAACCCGCAGGACACCGC
Dermacentor silvarum is the source of this 780-nucleotide long non-coding RNA. RefSeq lists it as uncharacterized. The record is from RefSeq and is a predicted model, not a curated record. The transcript has 3 exons. Lineage: Eukaryota; Metazoa; Arthropoda; Arachnida; Ixodida; Ixodidae.